RNAcentral lists this ribosomal RNA (195 nucleotides) under Triticum aestivum (bread wheat). RNAcentral describes it as "partial small subunit ribosomal RNA". The record is from RNAcentral. Lineage: Eukaryota; Viridiplantae; Streptophyta; Magnoliopsida; Poales; Poaceae.
AUGUGGCUCAAUCCGCAGCGUGCCCUCGAUGUCAAGACCCGUAUGAGGAUGCCCUUCAUCUCAUCUCCACCUGCUCCUUUGCUACACAAGUUUGGUCCAGCUUGGGCCUGUCUACUCCGACAUCCCUCACUGCUCUUCACCAACACCCACCGAUUCAGGGCCUCAACCCCAACAUCUGAUCAUCGGUGGCCUUGA